AUUGAACGCUGGCGGCAUGCCUUACACAUGCAAGUCGAACGGUAGCGCGGGGCAACCUGGCGACGAGUGGCGAACGGGUGAGUAAAGCAUCGGAACGUGCCCUGGAAUGGGGGAUAACGUAGCGAAAGUUACGCUAAUACCGCAUAUUCUGUGAGCAGGAAAGCAGGGGAUCGCAAGACCUUGCGUUCUGGGAGCGGCCGAUGUCGGAUUAGCUAGUUGGUGAGGUAAAGGCUUACCAAGGCGACGAUCUGUAGCGGGUCUGAGAGGAUGAUCCGCCACACUGGAACUGAGACACGGUCCAGACUCCUACGGGAGGCAGCAGUGGGGAAUCUUGCGCAAUGGGCGAAAGCCUGACGCAGCGACGCCGCGUGGGUGAUGAAGGCCUUCGGGUCGUAAAGCUCUGUGGGGAGAGACGAAUAAGACGUGGCUAAUAUCCACGGCGAUGACGGUAUCUCCUUAGCAAGCACCGGCUAACUCUGUGCCAGCAGCC
This 490-nucleotide ribosomal RNA is filed under the name uncultured bacterium. RNAcentral's name for it is "bacterial SSU rRNA". It matches the Rfam family "Bacterial small subunit ribosomal RNA", at positions 29 to 516 of the family's 1533-position model. The record is from RNAcentral.